AGUGAACGCUGGCGGUAGGCCUAACACAUGCAAGUCGAACGGCAGCACAGUAAGAGCUUGCUCUUACGGGUGGCGAGUGGCGGACGGGUGAGGAAUACAUCGGAAUCUACUUUUUCGUGGGGGAUAGCGUAGGGAAACUUACGCUAAUACCGCAUACGACCUACGGGUGAAAGCAGGGGAUCUUCGGACCUUGCGCGAUUGAAUGAGCCGAGGUCGGAUUAGCUAGUUGGCGGGGUAAAGGCCCACCAAGGCGACGAUCCGUAGCUGGUCUGAGAGGAUGAUCAGCCACACUGGAACUGAGACACGGUCCAGACUCCUACGGGAGGCAGCAGUGGGGAAUAUUGGACAAUGGGCGCAAGCCUGAUCCAGCCAUACCGCGUGGGUGAAGAAGGCCUUCGGGUUGUAAAGCCCUUUUGUUGGGAAAGAAAAGCAGUAGGUUAAUACCUCGCUGUUCUGACGGUACCCACAGAAUAAGCACCGGCUAACUUCGUG
RNAcentral lists this ribosomal RNA (492 nucleotides) under uncultured bacterium. RNAcentral's name for it is "partial 16S ribosomal RNA". It matches the Rfam family "Bacterial small subunit ribosomal RNA", at positions 29 to 507 of the family's 1533-position model. The record is from RNAcentral.